Molecule: ribosomal RNA, 450 nt
Filed under: uncultured bacterium
Lineage: Bacteria
Description: bacterial SSU rRNA
Rfam family: Bacterial small subunit ribosomal RNA
Source: RNAcentral
GAUGAACGCUGGCGGCGUGCUUAACACAUGCAAGUCGAACGAAGCACUUUAUUUGAUUUCCUUCGGGACUGAUUAUUUUGUGACUGAGUGGCGGACGGGUGAGUAACGCGUGGGUAACCUGCCUUGUACAGGGGGAUAACAGUUGGAAACGACUGCUAAUACCGCAUAAGCGCACAGUAUCGCAUGAUGCAGUGUGAAAAACUCCGGUGGUAUAAGAUGGACCUGCGUUGGAUUAGCUAGUUGGUGAGGUAACGGCCCACCAAGGCGACGAUCCAUAGCCGACCUGAGAGGGUGACCGGCCACAUUGGGACUGAGACACGGCCCAAACUCCUACGGGAGGCAGCAGUGGGGAAUAUUGCACAAUGGGCGAAAGCCUGAUGCAGCGACGCCGCGUGAGCGAAGAAGUAUUUCGGUAUGUAAAGCUCUAUCAGCAGGGAAGAUAAUGACGGU